UAUCUAGUAAAGGACUUCACGGACCUGAGGGAAAAUACAGUAAAGAAGGACAGUAUACACGAGAUUUGAUCAAACUUGCUGAACCCCCUGCAGGUUCGGAUAUGGACGACUCCAUUUUGUGUCCAAAUAUGUGAGAACGAUGAUAAGAUGUUUAAAUAAGAAAAAUAAAUCAAUUUAUUGUUUUUUCUUUGUAUUUUUGUCAACUUAAAGAGGCGCAUAACGUUGUUUAAAGUAUCCCUUUAAUUAAAGAAGAUGAUUCUCCUAGUUUACAAAUCAUGAUUAAUUUUAAACGUAAACGUUGUAUUAAGUUCUCCAAAAAGGAGGCACGUCAGAAUAACGGUACCCCUACAAGCUUUGUUCAAUCAAAAGAUCGAAUAAAUAGGCAAUCCAUCCAUGGUUCCUUUUUUGAAAUCUAAUUAUUUUCAUUUGGUGUUCUCUACGACUGUGUCUUCAAGCGCAUUUCUGCUUACAGGGAUGGCGAUGCCUGAUUCAUAAUUCAGUGCCCUUGAAACCCUUCUAUAAUCAAUAAUGCGGAAGGUAAUGUUGUGUUUCUGGUUUAAAGUGAUCAUUUCUUUUUGUCACCGAUAGUAGAAAUGCACAAGUCACUUUUAAAGAGGAACCACAAUUCAAAUUUGCAUGGAGGGUCACUUGAAAUUAUGCUUACAGUCCCUUUAAACUAAACUGCAUGUGUUUUAUAAAGAGAAAACAUUUAAAAACAAUUCUGAGAAUGUUUUGAAUCUUAUUUUAAGAUGUAAAACAGUAAAAAUGUAUGCAUUUGAAGAAUAUUUAUGAAAUUAUAUUAGCUUUAAUAAACAAACGUUCUUUGUUCAUUGUAACAAAUUCUGUUAAUUA
Eurytemora carolleeae is the source of this 852-nucleotide long non-coding RNA. RefSeq lists it as uncharacterized. The transcript has 4 exons. Lineage: Eukaryota; Metazoa; Arthropoda; Copepoda; Calanoida; Temoridae. The record is from RefSeq and is a predicted model, not a curated record.